This 168-nucleotide ribosomal RNA is filed under the name uncultured bacterium. Its description in RNAcentral is "partial 16S ribosomal RNA". It matches the Rfam family "Bacterial small subunit ribosomal RNA", at positions 1325 to 1500 of the family's 1533-position model. The record is from RNAcentral.
GCUGGAUUCGCUAGUAAUCGCGCAUCAGCCAUGGCGCGGUGAAUACGUUCCCGGGCCUUGUACACACCGCCCGUCAAGCCAUGGGAGCCGGGAGCGCUUGAAGUGCGUCGCCGCGAGGCGCGCCCUAGAGCGAGACCGGUGACUGGGGCUAAGUCGUAACAAGGUAUC